Molecule: transfer RNA, 73 nt
Filed under: Desmophyllum pertusum
Lineage: Eukaryota; Metazoa; Cnidaria; Anthozoa; Scleractinia; Caryophylliidae
Description: Lophelia pertusa tRNA
Rfam family: tRNA
About the family: Transfer RNA (tRNA) molecules are approximately 80 nucleotides in length.
Source: Rfam by way of RNAcentral
GGCUUCAUAGCUCAGUUGGUAGAGUAUCGCACUAGUAACGCGGAGGUCGUGGGUUCAAAUCCCGUUGAAGCCA